GCCCGGAUAGCUCAGUCGGUAGAGCACCAGACUUUUACUCUGAGGGUCCAGGGUUCGAACCCCUGACCUGACC
This 73-nucleotide transfer RNA is filed under the name Echinostoma caproni. It matches the Rfam family "tRNA". Rfam says of the family: Transfer RNA (tRNA) molecules are approximately 80 nucleotides in length. Their secondary structure includes four short double-helical elements and three loops (D, anti-codon, and T loops). The record is from Rfam by way of RNAcentral. Lineage: Eukaryota; Metazoa; Platyhelminthes; Trematoda; Plagiorchiida; Echinostomatidae.